RNAcentral lists this unclassified non-coding RNA (213 nucleotides) under Hevea brasiliensis (rubber tree). Lineage: Eukaryota; Viridiplantae; Streptophyta; Magnoliopsida; Malpighiales; Euphorbiaceae. The record is from RNAcentral.
AUCAAAUCAAAACCCCCUUCUUCUAUUUCCUGCUCGCUGUUUCCCCUCCUCGAUCUCCUUUUCUCCUUCUUCCUUCUCCCUUUAACCAGCCUAGUCGCUUUCGACGGUCACCUAACCUCGCUCAUCGUCCAGUGCAUCUCCCUAUAGAAUAUCCUUUUUGCUCAAUUCCAUCUCUUCUAACCUCAAUGAUCUUCCAAUUCCACGAGUACACCA